This 755-nucleotide ribosomal RNA is filed under the name uncultured Clostridium sp. RNAcentral's name for it is "bacterial SSU rRNA". It matches the Rfam family "Bacterial small subunit ribosomal RNA", at positions 22 to 776 of the family's 1533-position model. Lineage: Bacteria; Bacillati; Bacillota; Clostridia; Eubacteriales; Clostridiaceae. The record is from RNAcentral.
GCUCAGGACGAACGCUGGCGGUAUGCUUAACACAUGCAAGUCGAACGAGAAGUCUUUUAUUGACCCUUCGGGGGAUAUAAGAGACAGACAGUGGCGAACGGGUGAGUAACGCGUGGGCAACCUACCUAUCGGAGCGGGAUAGCCUCGAGAAAUCGGGAGUAAAACCGCAUAACACGGAUAUAUCGCAUGAUGAAUCCGUCAAAACUCCGGUGCCGAUAGAUGGGCCCGCGUCUGAUUAGCUAGUUGGUAAGGUAAGGGCUUACCAAGGCAACGAUCAGUAGCCGGUCUGAGAGGGCGAACGGCCACACUGGAACUGAGACACGGUCCAGACUCCUACGGGAGGCAGCAGUGGGGAAUAUUGCGCAAUGGGGGCAACCCUGACGCAGCAAUACCGCGUGAGUGAAGAAGGUUUUCGGAUCGUAAAGCUCUGUUAUUGGGGAAGAAGCAGUGACGGUACCCAAUGAGGAAGUCCCGGCUAACUACGUGCCAGCAGCCGCGGUAAUACGUAGGGGACGAGCGUUGUCCGGAAUCACUGGGCGUAAAGGGCGCGUAGGCGGUUUUAUAAGUCAGAUGUGAAAGGUACCGGCUCAACCGGUGACGUGCAUUUGAAACUGUAAGACUUGAGUACUGAAGAGGCAAGCGGAAUUCCUAGUGUAGCGGUGAAAUGCGUAGAUAUUAGGAAGAACACCGGUGGCGAAGGCGGCUUGCUGGGCAGAUACUGACGCUGAGGUGCGAAAGCGUGGGGAGCGAACAGG